This 200-nucleotide ribosomal RNA is filed under the name uncultured bacterium. RNAcentral describes it as "partial 16S ribosomal RNA". It matches the Rfam family "Bacterial small subunit ribosomal RNA", at positions 29 to 256 of the family's 1533-position model. The record is from RNAcentral.
AAUGAACGCUGGCGGCAUGCCUAACACAUGCAAGUCGAACGAGACCUUCGGGUCUAGUGGCGCACGGGAGCGUAACGCGUGGGAAUCUGCCCUUGGGUUCGGAAUAACAGCUAGAAAUGGCUGCUAAUACCGGAUGAUGACGUAAGUCCAAAGAUUUAUCGCCCAGGGAUGAGCCCGGGUAGGAUUAGCUAGUUGGUGGG